AUCAACUUUCGAUGGUAGGAUAGAGGCCUACCAUGGUGGUAACGGGUAACGGGGUGUUAGGGCACGACACCGGAGAGGGAGCCUGAGAAACGGCUACCACAUCCAAGGAUGGCAGCAGGCGCGCAAAUUACCCAAUCCCGACACGGGGAGGUAGUGACAAUAAAUAACAAUACGGGGUUCUUUCGGAUCUCGUAAUUGGAAUGAGUACAAUUUAAAUCUCUUAACGAGGAACAAUUGGAGGGCAAGUCUGGUGCCAGCAGCCGCGGUAAUUCCAGCUCCAAUAGCGUAUAUUAAAGUUGUUGCAGUUAAAAAGCUCGUAGUUGAAUUUCGGGAUCAAAUUGUUGGUCGUGCUUCGGUACGCACUGGCAUUAUUGGUUCCUACCUUCUGAAGAACCGCGAUGUCAUUAAUUUGGUGUCGUGGGGAAUCAGGACUGUUACUUUGAAAAAAUUAGAGUGUUUAAAGCAGGCUUACGCUUGAAUACAUUAGCAUGGAAUAAUGAAAUAGGACGUUUGAUUCUAUUUUGUUGGUUUCUAGGAUCGACGUAAUGAUUAAUAGGGAUAGUUGGGGGCAUUAGUAUUCAAUUGUCAGAGGUGAAAUUCUUGGAUUUAUUGAAGACUAACUACUGCGAAAGCAUUUGCCAAGGAUGUUUUCAUUAAUCAAGAACGAAAGUUAGGGGAUCGAAGACGAUCAGAUACCGUCGUAGUCUUAACCAUAAACUAUGCCGACUAGGGAUCGGAUGAUGUUAAUUUUUUAAUGACUCAUUCGGCGCCUUACGGGAAACCAAAGUGUUUGGGUUC
Molecule: ribosomal RNA, 798 nt
Filed under: uncultured fungus
Lineage: Eukaryota; Fungi
Description: SSU rRNA
Rfam family: Eukaryotic small subunit ribosomal RNA
Source: RNAcentral